This 253-nucleotide ribosomal RNA is filed under the name uncultured bacterium. Its description in RNAcentral is "partial 16S ribosomal RNA". It matches the Rfam family "Bacterial small subunit ribosomal RNA", at positions 524 to 776 of the family's 1533-position model. The record is from RNAcentral.
UACGAAGGGGGCUAGCGUUGCUCGGAAUCACUGGGCGUAAAGCGCACGUAGGCGGACUCUUAAGUCGGUGGUGAAAUCCUGGAGCUCAACUCCAGAACUGCCUUCGAUACUGAGAGUCUCGAGUCCGGGAGAGGUGAGUGGAACUGCGAGUGUAGAGGUGAAAUUCGUAGAUAUUCGCAAGAACACCAGUGGCGAAGGCGGCCACCUGGACCAGCACUGACACUGAGGCACGAAAGCGUGGGGAGCAAACAGG